This 424-nucleotide ribosomal RNA is filed under the name uncultured Ferruginibacter sp. RNAcentral describes it as "bacterial SSU rRNA". It matches the Rfam family "Bacterial small subunit ribosomal RNA", at positions 355 to 776 of the family's 1533-position model. The record is from RNAcentral. Lineage: Bacteria; Pseudomonadati; Bacteroidota; Chitinophagia; Chitinophagales; Chitinophagaceae.
UAAGGAAUAUUGGUCAAUGGACGAAAGUCUGAACCAGCCAUGCCGCGUGAAGGAUGACGGCCCUCUGGGUUGUAAACUUCUUUUAUCUGGGACGAAAAAAGAUCAUUCUUGAUCACUUGACGGUACCAGAGGAAUAAGCACCGGCUAACUCCGUGCCAGCAGCCGCGGUAAUACGGAGGGUGCAAGCGUUAUCCGGAUUUACUGGGUUUAAAGGGUGCGUAGGUGGGUUAGUAAGUCAGUGGUGAAAUCUUCGAGCUUAACUCGGAAACUGCCGUUGAUACUAUUAAUCUUGAAUAUUCUGGAGGUGAGCGGAAUAUGUCAUGUAGCGGUGAAAUGCUUAGAUAUGACAUAGAACACCGAUUGCGAAGGCAGCUCACUACGGAAUUAUUGACACUGAGGCACGAAAGCGUGGGGAUCAAACAGG